GAGACUGUUUCAUUCAGAUUGCAAAUACAUGGAUGGUUGAAUUGAGGUUCUGUUUUACUGAUUUUGGUAAUAUUAAUAAUAGGUACUGUCAUUUACUUAUUUGAAUAUCUUCAAAGGACAAUUAUAAAUAUAAAUUAUAUUUAUAAAGUAAGAGAGAUGAUAUUAGUUGCAAGUCAUUUUAUCAAAAUAAAUUUAAAAAUUCAAAACUCAAAAGUAGUAUGGAAAAAUUGAGAUCCCGAGAGGAUGAUCAGUCACAUUGGGACUGAGACAUGGCCCAGACUCCUACGGGAGGCAGCAGUGGGGAAUUUUCUGCAAUAGGCAAAAGCCUGACUGAGCAAUGCCGCAUGGACAUAGAAGGUCCACGGGUCGUGAACUUCUUUUCCCGAAGAAGAAGCAAUGACGGUAUCUGGGGAAUAAGCAUCGGUUUACUCUGUGCCAGUAGAAUCG
This is a non-coding RNA of Gossypium hirsutum (cotton), 447 nucleotides long. The record is from Rfam. Lineage: Eukaryota; Viridiplantae; Streptophyta; Magnoliopsida; Malvales; Malvaceae.